RNAcentral lists this long non-coding RNA (1525 nucleotides) under Triticum aestivum (bread wheat). Its description in RNAcentral is "long non-coding RNA (TAES_LNC019362)". Lineage: Eukaryota; Viridiplantae; Streptophyta; Magnoliopsida; Poales; Poaceae. The record is from RNAcentral.
AUUGCAUUACUCUGUGGACAAAGCUGACUCGCUCGCCACCAAAUCUUGUACAUCAGGGAUAUAUUGUUUGUGUUUAACACUUCAAACAAAUUCAUGGUACAUCUCAUACUUGCUAAUAAAUGGGCUAACUCUAUUACAGUUCCUACUAGCAAAACUGAAACUAAAUUGAUCCAAAUUUUGCUUCAGGAACACUUUCAACUCCGCUAGUACCUUGCAGACCACUGAUCGAUCUUGCUCAUCCUUGUUUUAGCAACAUGGAGUCAGUUUCGAAGCAGAUAAUAGUGAUUCCUUUAGACGCAGCCAGCUUGGCCCAUGAAGCAAAUAUUUCAGCAUGAAGUGGAUUAAUUAGAUUCUCAAGCCUUCCUGCUCCACACGCCUAAACAGCUCCGUUAUGACCCCGGAUAACAGCACCCCAGCCACCACUACUUGUUUGAGGAUGAAAGGCGCCAUCAAUGUUCAUCUUCGGUGCUUCGUGCUGAGGCGGUUUCCACCGAUCUUGACAUGUUUUCUUGAGCUCCUUUUCCUUCAUGAGAGCGUGGCAAUAUUCAUUAGUCUUCUCAAUAAUAGUGUAAUAUAUAUCAUCAUUAGUUCGUACUUUACCUUCUUCUGUAAUAUUAUCCCUUUCAUUCUACCACUGCCACAGAAGUACCAUCACCUUGUUUUUUUCUUCUUCUUCUAGCUUGAGGACUUCAUUUAUAAAAUCUGCAAUAGAUUGUUUAGUUACCGACUUCUUCCUUAUGUUCUUCAAUCCUAGCAUCUCCCAUAUUUGAGUUACUCUUUUACAUUUGAGAAAGAGGUGGCCGCCAUCUUCAAAUGUUCGCUUACAGAUCAGACAAUCCUUCUCUGCUUCAAUUCCUCUUUUUCUCAAGGUAUUGCUCAAAGCUAAGGAAAUGUGACCUAAUCUCCAUAUGGAGUGCUUUAAGUGAUUUGGACAUCCUAUUCUCCAUACCUUUCUCUAAUUUACUUCAUAUUCGGCAUUCUGCCUUGACGGUCUUACUAUCCCUCUUUGGCUUCUCCUCUUUUCUUCCUCCACAUAGACAUGGUAUGCUGAUCUUUCUGAAAAUAAACCUUUUUCACCAGCAUGCCAAGCAGAUUCAUCAUUAUAGCCUGUACCAGUUGGGAUAGCUAGAAUAGCCUUGACAUCUUCCUCCCAAAAAAUUGUUUCCAGCACCUCCAUGUUCCAUCUUCCAUCCAUAUUAAUUGAUUCAGCUACUUUGUUUUCAAAGGGCUAUUACAUUUUGGAGUGCAAUGUUUCCUAGUAAAAUUCCUGAGGAUCCAUGGGUCAUCCCAGAUUCUCACAUUCUUCCCAUCUCCAAUUCUCCACAUAAGUCCCAUUUUAGUAGGUUAAUGCCUUUUAAGAUACUCCUCCAAGUAUAAGACAUUCCUUGCCUUGCCUCUGCCUCUAACACAUUUCCAUUCGGAAAGUAGCGAGCUUUAAGAACCUGACCACAUAGUGAGUCUGGAUUAUUUAAAAGCCUGCAUGCCUGUCUUGCCCAACAUGGCAAUGUUAAAAGCAUAAAAGACC